RNAcentral lists this ribosomal RNA (492 nucleotides) under uncultured bacterium. Its description in RNAcentral is "partial 16S ribosomal RNA". It matches the Rfam family "Bacterial small subunit ribosomal RNA", at positions 29 to 507 of the family's 1533-position model. The record is from RNAcentral.
AGUGAACGCUGGCGGUAGGCCUAACACAUGCAAGUCGAACGGCAGCACCGUAAGAGCUUGCUCUUACGGGUGGCGAGUGGCGGACGGGUGAGGAAUACAUCGGAAUCUACUUUUUCGUGGGGGAUAACGUAGGGAAACUUACGCUAAUACCGCAUACGACCUACGGGUGAAAGCAGUGGAUCUUCGGACCUUGCGCGAUUGAAUGAGCCGAUGUCGGAUUAGCUAGUUGGCGGGGUAAAGGCCCACCAAGGCGACGAUCCGUAGCUGGUCUGAGAGGAUGAUCAGCCACACUGGAACUGAGACACGGUCCAGACUCCUACGGGAGGCAGCAGUGGGGAAUAUUGGACAAUGGGCGCAAGCCUGAUCCAGCCAUACCGCGUGGGUGAAGAAGGCCUUCGGGUUGUAAAGCCCUUUUGUUGGGAAAGAAAAGCAGCAGGUUAAUACCCCGCUGUUCUGACGGUACCCAAAGAAUAAGCACCGGCUAACUUCGUG